GGAUUUGAAGAGGAUAGCUGCUAGAGUUAUUGAGAAGGCUAAGGAAAUCUGCACCAGUAAAUCGGUGAUUAUUUCUUGCUUGCUUAUGAUGGUUUACUAUACUUUCUCUCCAAUUUGUUCUACAAUGUUUAAUUUUCUACAUGUAUAAGAAUUGACUUUCAAGUAUCUAUGCUAACAAUUUUCAGUUCCAAGAUAGAUAAAGAAGUGAAUCCGUAGCCUAAACGUGGAUCUUUUUAAUUUUCCACUAAUUAGGAAUUGCUGCUUCUUCUUGGUCUGCUUGUAGAUUUUAAGAAAGCGGGAAACUUAAUUUGUUCGCACGAGAAUUACAUACAGAGGAGCCUGUCCUAUGAAAACAUCACUUGCCACUCAACCAAAAAAAAAAGAAAAAAUUUCUCCUUCGCAGUAAACUCAAGUGUUAGAAUGGAUGAUGGACCACUGGCAAACAAAAGUGCUUAGUGUAUCUUGAAAUUUGAACUAUGGCUGGCUUGAAGUGGACUUGUGUGCUUGUGGCCUCGAUGUUUAUCUGUUUAAGAGUCUGAUUAAUAUUGCUGUUGAUACUGUUAUCAAAGCAUAUUAUUUUUUUAAAUAUAUUAAUU
Molecule: unclassified non-coding RNA, 596 nt
Filed under: Hevea brasiliensis (rubber tree)
Lineage: Eukaryota; Viridiplantae; Streptophyta; Magnoliopsida; Malpighiales; Euphorbiaceae
Source: RNAcentral